Molecule: ribosomal RNA, 441 nt
Filed under: uncultured eukaryote
Lineage: Eukaryota
Description: SSU rRNA
Rfam family: Eukaryotic small subunit ribosomal RNA
Source: RNAcentral
AUGUUGGUUAACAGAUCCUCAUUUGCUGGACCGGCUGGCGAUGAUCUUUUAUCGAUUUGUCGUCAGUUGCCAGAACGUUUACUUUGAGAAAUUAGAGUGCUAAAAGCAGGCUCACGCCUAUAUAUAUUGCAUGGAAUAAUGAAAUAAGAUCUCGAUUUUAUUUCGUUGGUUUUAGAAAUUGAGAUAAUGAUUAAUAGGAUCAGAGGGGGGCGUACGUACUGUGGUGUGAGAGGUGAAAUUCUUGGAUCGCCACAGGACGAACAGCAGCGAAGGCGUUCGCCAAGAAUGUUUUCAUUAAUCAAGAACGAAAGUUUGAGGUUCGAAGACGAUUAGAUACCGUCCUAGUUCAAACCAUAAACGUUGCCAACUGUCUUUUAGAUGCGGUUAUUUAUAUGACUCAUCUGGCGGAUCUCGAGAAAAUCUAAGUUUUUAGGUUCCGGG